GAUGAACGCUAGCGGCAGGCUUAAUACAUGCAAGUCGAGGGGCAUCAAGGUACACGAAAGUGUAUUGUUGGCGACCGGCGGACGGGUGAGUAAUAGGUAGGUAACCUACCUCAUACUGAGGCAUAGCUGGGAGAAAUUCCAGGUAAUUCCUCAUGAGGUUAUAUGACACAUGUGAUAUAAUCAAAGGUAUCGCAAGGUACUGGUAUGAGAUGGGCUUACUGACCAUUAGCUAGUUGGUGAGAUAAGAGCUCACCAAAGGCGAAGAUGGUUAGGGGUUUUUGAGAGAGAGAUCCCCCACAUUGGAACUGAGAUACGGUCCAGACUCCUACGGGAGGCAGCAGUAGGGAAUAUUGGGCAAAUGGGCGGAAGCCUGACCCAGCCAUGCCGCGUGAAGGAAGACGGCCUUAUGGGUUGUAAACUUCUUUACUAUGCGAAUAAGAGGUUAGUACGAGAUACUAAUAAGGAAGGUAGUGUAGUAAAAAGACACCGGCUAACUCGUG
This 500-nucleotide ribosomal RNA is filed under the name uncultured bacterium. RNAcentral describes it as "bacterial SSU rRNA". It matches the Rfam family "Bacterial small subunit ribosomal RNA", at positions 28 to 507 of the family's 1533-position model. The record is from RNAcentral.